RNAcentral lists this ribosomal RNA (478 nucleotides) under uncultured bacterium. RNAcentral describes it as "partial 16S ribosomal RNA". It matches the Rfam family "Bacterial small subunit ribosomal RNA", at positions 28 to 507 of the family's 1533-position model. The record is from RNAcentral.
GAUGAACGCUAGCGGCAGGCCUAACACAUGCAAGUCGAGGGAGAAGCCCUUUCGGGGGCAGAAACCGGCGCACGGGUGCGUAACGCGUAUGCAACCUACCUUUCACAGGGGGAUAGCCCGAAGAAAUUUGGAUUAAUACCCCAUAAUAUUAUUGGAUGGCAUCAUUUGAUAAUUAAAACUGCGGUGGUGAACUAUGGGCAUGCGUCCUAUUAGCUAGUUGGAGUGGUAACGGCACCCCAAGGCUACGAUAGGUAGGGGUCCUGAGAGGGAGAUCCCCCACACUGGUACUGAGACAGGGACCAGACUCCUACGGGAGGCAGCAGUGAGGAAUAUUGGUCAAUGGUCGGAAGACUGAACCAGCCAUGCCGCGUGCAGGAAGAAUGCCUUAUGGGUUGUAAACUGCUUUUAUAUGGGAAGAAUAAGGCGUACGUGUACGUUGAUGACGGUACCAUAUGAAUAAGCAUCGGCUAACUCCGUG